This 591-nucleotide non-coding RNA is filed under the name Pongo abelii (Sumatran orangutan). The record is from RNAcentral. Lineage: Eukaryota; Metazoa; Chordata; Mammalia; Primates; Hominidae.
ACCUGCGUGGGCGGAACCAAGAGCCUGGCGGGGGGUCUCCUGAAUGGCGGUUCCCCCAGAACCUCCAGAGAUGUCCCAGGCCCAGCACUGUGUCUCAUGGCUGACCGCGCCCUGGAGGGUCUCGCUGUGUUUAUCCCUGUGAGGUCCUUCUACAGAGCUUUCAAGGAAGACAGAGUUCAGCCUGUUUAUUGGGAAGACUUUAAUCUCGCUCAAAACAUCUACUGUGUCACCGUACCACUGUGGCCCAGUGCCUGGUGGAGUGAGUCCAGAGCCCCAGGGGUGUCCCCUCCCCGCCUUUCUCCUGGUGUCUAGGGGCACCCAGAAACCCUCACCCCAGAUUAGACCAGUUCGUUGGCAAUGUCCCUGAGACAGAAGAGAGACACAGAGAGAAGAGACAUGGAGGAGCCGGCCAUGGAGAGAUACAGCAGAAGCUGGAGGCGACGGGAGGAUCCUGGCCCGGAGCCUCCGGAGGGAGCGGGGGCCGUGUUCCACAAGCGUGAGAGUCCUGUGUGUUGUUCUGAGCUCCCAAGGCUGGGGUAACUUGUUCCCACAGCCGUGGGAAACUGACACGUCCCAAACACAGCAGCACGA